Molecule: non-coding RNA, 88 nt
Organism: Apodospora peruviana
Lineage: Eukaryota; Fungi; Ascomycota; Sordariomycetes; Sordariales; Lasiosphaeriaceae
Source: the annotation of a GenBank genome assembly
GGGCGUGUGGCUCAGUUGGUAGAGCGUUCGCUUAGCAUGGGUUAUAAUAUCCUGCGAAAGGUCCUGAGUUCGAUUCUUAGCUCGUCCA